This is a non-coding RNA of Cinara cedri, 907 nucleotides long. The record is from the annotation of a GenBank genome assembly. NCBI's taxonomy places the organism in Eukaryota, Metazoa, Arthropoda, Insecta, Hemiptera, Aphididae.
UAUAAAUAAAACUUGAAUACCAACUGGAAACUUUGAUGUCAAUUAAUUUAAAUCAUUUAAAUACAAUUCAUCUAAAUACACAAUAAUUAAUAUAAAAAGAAAAAUAUUCUAAUUAUGACUUAAAUGUAUUACUAAUUAAUGUUUGAUAUAAUAGCUUCAACUUCCACUAUCUUAACAAAUCGAGAAGAGGUUGAAGAUUCUCAACUGGAAAAUUGUCAUCAUACACUGCUAUGUUUAGAGGAAUGUUAUUUGAUUGCAGAUGGAAUAAAAUAUUUAAGUAAGUUAAAAAUUAAAAAAAAGAAAUGUAUGAAAUAAAACAUGCAUUUAUGUCAAUUAUAAUGUUGUUAUCUACUAUAUUAUUGUUAGGCAUUGUGUUAAGAAGUAAUUUUGUUUUCUUGUGUAGUGAAAUCUAUAAUUUCCAUACCCUUUACUGUAUUCUACCACACCUUAUAUAUACAUAUAAGCAACCUUUAAACAAUUUUAGGCUAUUAAUUAUAAAAUAUGAAGAAAUGAUGGUGAAAUAUUUUUUAAUGCUAAAAUUCUAUAAAUACACAUCAUAUUUAAGACAUAAGUAUUUACAAUUUAUAGAUAUAAACUGAUGUGAUACACUGCACGUAAAAACCGAAAUUUAGGAAAAAAAUUCCUUUAAGCGAAUCAUCAAUAUUCCUGAUGUGGUUUUUGUGAUACAGGUGGAACACUAAAUUCAUUGAUACUGUAUAUAAUACAAUUACAAUUAAGUUAACAAUACAGUUAAUUACUGUUGGUUUAUUGUCAAUUGCCAAAGAUUCAAAAUGCAAAUGAAAUGCUAAAAUUUGAAUUUGUUCAGAUAAUAUAAAAAUAUUGGAAUAAUCAUUUACAACUUAUUUUUUAAAAUUUCAAAUAAACACAUUUUAUCAACAAAUUUCAU